Molecule: ribosomal RNA, 460 nt
Filed under: uncultured bacterium
Lineage: Bacteria
Description: partial 16S ribosomal RNA
Rfam family: Bacterial small subunit ribosomal RNA
Source: RNAcentral
CCUACGGGUGGCAGCAGUGAGGAAUAUUGGUCAAUGGACGAGAGUCUGAACCAGCCAAGUAGCGUGAAGGAUGACUGCCCUAUGGGUUGUAAACUUCUUUUAUAUGGGAAUAAAACGUUCCACGUGUGGGAUUUUGUAUGUACCAUAUGAAUAAGGAUCGGCUAACUCCGUGCCAGCAGCCGCGGUAAUACGGAGGAUCCGAGCGUUAUCCGGAUUUAUUGGGUUUAAAGGGAGCGUAGGUGGAUUGUUAAGUCAGUUGUGAAAGUUUGCGGGUCAACCGUAAAAUUGCAGUUGAAACUGGCAGUCUUGAGUACAGUAGAGGUGGGCGGAAUUCGUGGUGUAGCGGUGAAAUGCUUAGAUAUCACGAAGAACUCCGAUUGCGAAGGCAGUUCACUGGACUGCAACUGACACUGAGGCUCGAAAGUGUGGGUAUCAAACAGGAUUAGAUACCCCAGUAGUC